RNAcentral lists this long non-coding RNA (214 nucleotides) under Setaria italica (foxtail millet). RNAcentral's name for it is "long non-coding RNA (SITA_LNC000689)". The record is from RNAcentral. Lineage: Eukaryota; Viridiplantae; Streptophyta; Magnoliopsida; Poales; Poaceae.
GGCGGGGCAGCGGCGAGCCGGGGAAGUAGACCGUGGAAACCGGAGCGGCCACGUGAGCGCGCCGGGAGCCACGGUAUCGUGUGGUGGCCGGUGAGCUCCGACACGCGUAGAAAUCUCAGCUGGUCGCUGUACGUAUCGGGAACGGUUUGCCGUCAUUUUCUUCUUUUCAAUUUGCAGCAAAGACGUGCCAGAAAAAAUCGUCGAGGAGCAGUAA